CGUAAGUACAGUUUUGCACUAUUUAUAUUUCACGUUUUGAUCGCUGUCUUAUUUAAAAACAUAUAUGAUUAGUACUUUUAUUAUUAUUAGAUAAUAAAAUAUAGAUAGUAUUUUAUGUGUGACUAUUUUUUAAAUAUCUUAUAAAUUUCUUAAAUAAGACGAACAUUUAAACAUUGAACACAAAUCUAUAAAUACAAUUAUG
RNAcentral lists this microRNA precursor (202 nucleotides) under Oryza brachyantha (malo sina). RNAcentral's name for it is "MIR812 microRNA precursor family". It matches the Rfam family "MIR812 microRNA precursor family". The record is from Rfam by way of RNAcentral. Lineage: Eukaryota; Viridiplantae; Streptophyta; Magnoliopsida; Poales; Poaceae.